CAGAGUUGCAAAACUCCAACAAACCAUCGCGAAUCUUACCCGUACGGUUGCCUCGGCGCUGGCGGUCCGGAAGGCCCUCGGGCCCCCCGGAUCCUCGGGUCUCCCGCUCGCGGGAGGCUGCCCGCCGGAGUGCCGAAACCAAACUCUUGAUAUUUUAUGUCUCUCUGAGUAAACUUUUAAAUAAGUC
Molecule: RNA transcript, 187 nt
Organism: Sordaria macrospora k-hell
Lineage: Eukaryota; Fungi; Ascomycota; Sordariomycetes; Sordariales; Sordariaceae
Gene name: internal transcribed spacer 1
Source: RefSeq, a predicted model, not a curated record